RNAcentral lists this ribosomal RNA (586 nucleotides) under Escherichia coli. RNAcentral's name for it is "partial 23S ribosomal RNA". It matches the Rfam family "Bacterial large subunit ribosomal RNA", at positions 612 to 1199 of the family's 2925-position model. The record is from RNAcentral. Lineage: Bacteria; Pseudomonadati; Pseudomonadota; Gammaproteobacteria; Enterobacterales; Enterobacteriaceae.
AUAAUGGGUCAGCGACUUAUAUUCUGUAGCAAGGUUAACCGAAUAGGGGAGCCGAAGGGAAACCGAGUCUUAACUGGGCGUUAAGUUGCAGGGUAUAGACCCGAAACCCGGUGAUCUAGCCAUGGGCAGGUUGAAGGUUGGGUAACACUAACUGGAGGACCGAACCGACUAAUGUUGAAAAAUUAGCGGAUGACUUGUGGCUGGGGGUGAAAGGCCAAUCAAACCGGGAGAUAGCUGGUUCUCCCCGAAAGCUAUUUAGGUAGCGCCUCGUGAAUUCAUCUCCGGGGGUAGAGCACUGUUUCGGCAAGGGGGUCAUCCCGACUUACCAACCCGAUGCAAACUGCGAAUACCGGAGAAUGUUAUCACGGGAGACACACGGCGGGUGCUAACGUCCGUCGUGAAGAGGGAAACAACCCAGACCGCCAGCUAAGGUCCCAAAGUCAUGGUUAAGUGGGAAACGAUGUGGGAAGGCCCAGACAGCCAGGAUGUUGGCUUAGAAGCAGCCAUCAUUUAAAGAAAGCGUAAUAGCUCACUGGUCGAGUCGGCCUGCGCGGAAGAUGUAACGGGGCUAAACCAUGCACCGAAG